GCAAAACUCUCAUUCGUUUUCUCCUCCCCAUCUCUAAUCCCCCUCCCCGACCAACGCACGGUUCUAGGGUUUCCGCGCUAGAUCUCAGAUCGAGAUUUGUUCGUGAUUUCCCCGACAUGCGCUCCUCAUGGGCCGAUUCCGUUGAGAGCUCCGCUGCCGGAGCCCCCGCCGCCACCUCCCGCCCCUCCUACGUCCCUCCUCACCUCCGCAACCGCCCCGCCGGCGCCGAUCCCGCCGCUGAUGCCCCCUCCCGGUUCGCCCCGGCAUCCGGCUACGGCGGACCCCCGGG
RNAcentral lists this unclassified non-coding RNA (289 nucleotides) under Hevea brasiliensis (rubber tree). The record is from RNAcentral. Lineage: Eukaryota; Viridiplantae; Streptophyta; Magnoliopsida; Malpighiales; Euphorbiaceae.